RNAcentral lists this transfer RNA (110 nucleotides) under Microcaldota archaeon. Its description in RNAcentral is "tRNA-Pro". The record is from RNAcentral. Lineage: Archaea; Nanobdellati; Microcaldota.
GGGGCUGUAUGCUAGUCUGGUAGGCUUCUGGCAUGGGGUGCCAGCGACCCGAGGUGGCAUCAUGCUAACGGGAAUUCAAAUGGCACAUCCUGAAAAUCUCGGCAGCCCCA